This 841-nucleotide ribosomal RNA is filed under the name uncultured bacterium. RNAcentral's name for it is "bacterial SSU rRNA". It matches the Rfam family "Bacterial small subunit ribosomal RNA", at positions 22 to 881 of the family's 1533-position model. The record is from RNAcentral.
GCUCAGGAUGAACGCUGGCGGCGUGCCUAAUGCAUGCAAGUCGAACGGAGAAAGUAGCAAUACUUUUUCAGUGGCGAACGGGUGAGUAACGCGUUGGUGACCUGCCCCGAAGCGGGGGAUAACAGUCCGAAAGGACUGCUAAUACCCCAUGUGGUCAUUUGGAUUAGAUGCCUGAUGACUAAAGGAGUAAUUCGCUUUGGGAGGGGCCUGCGUCCCAUCAGCUAGUUGGUAAGGUAAUGGCUUACCAAGGCGUCGACGGGUAGGGGACCUGAGAGGGUGGCCCCCCACAAUGGAACUGAAACACGGUCCAUACACCUACGGGUGGCAGCAGCAGGGAAUAUUGGUAAUCUGCGAAAGCGGGAACCAGCAACGCCGCGUGUGCGAUGAAGGCCUUCGGGUCGUAAAGCACUUUUCGAGGGGAUGAGGAAGGACAGUACCCUCGGAAUAAGUCUCGGCUAACUACGUGCCAGCAGCCGCGGUAAAACGUAGGAGGCGAGCGUUAUCCGGAUUUACUGGGCGUAAAGCGUGUGCAGGCGGUUCGGUAAGUUGGAUGUGAAAGCUCCUGGCUCAACUGGGAGAGGUCGUUCAAUACUGUCGGACUUGAGGAUGGUAGAGGGAGGUGGAAUUCCGGGUGUAGUGGUGAAAUGCGUAGAUAUCCGGAGGAACACCAGUGGCGAAAGCGGCCUCCUGGACCAUUUCUGACGCUCAUACACGAAAGCUAGGGGAGCAAACGGGAUUAGAGACCCCGGUAGUCCUAGCUGUAAACUAUGUAGACUUGGCGUCGGUGGGUUUAAAUCCAUCGGUGCCGUAGCUAACGCGAUAAGUCUACCGCCUGGGGACU